UUGUUUCCAUUGAUAUUGCAUAAAUCACAGCUAAUCUCUACACAUAUCAAGAAAUCUAAUGAUGUUGGAUGGGGUGGCCUUGAGAGCCACGGGGCUGGACCACUUGUCAAUUCAAUGUUGUCAGAAACGACGGUUCAAACACUGUUCAUGGACUUCAACAGAAAAAUUUGAAAGUCCAUAUGGGGGCCCCAUUUGCUGCCGAAAAUUCAAUGGGUAAUUUUUACGCAGUCCUAGCAGGACGUCUUGCAUAAAGCAAUUGACCGUAGAUAAGUUCUGUUAUAAGAUUAGCGACAAUAGCAGCACGUAAUGGACUUGGAUUUUCUUCGACCCAUACCUGGCUAUUGCUACUGUUUAAUAUCCCAUGUGGUGUAAAAGUGUCAUCAUUUGUCUCAAAGUCAAAAGUGAAAAAUGGACUUGGUCGACAAAUUCCACAAUCUUAUGAAGCAGCCACGGACAAAACUUAAUUCUUGCAUGAGAAUUUGCUGGAGUCAAACUUUAACUGCUUGUAAUUUUUUUUUGACGAGGGCUUUAAUUUUAUUUGCAACUCAGUUAAAAACUGCUUCGUUUUUUAGUAAAACCGUGCAGCAA
Dendroctonus ponderosae (mountain pine beetle) is the source of this 588-nucleotide long non-coding RNA. RefSeq lists it as uncharacterized. The transcript is spliced from 2 exons. The record is from RefSeq and is a predicted model, not a curated record. Lineage: Eukaryota; Metazoa; Arthropoda; Insecta; Coleoptera; Curculionidae.